Long non-coding RNA from Anguilla rostrata (American eel), 1203 nucleotides. RefSeq lists it as uncharacterized. NCBI's taxonomy places the organism in Eukaryota, Metazoa, Chordata, Actinopteri, Anguilliformes, Anguillidae. The record is from RefSeq and is a predicted model, not a curated record. The transcript is spliced from 5 exons.
GCAUGUUCUCACUACAGCUCCCACAGUCCUCUGCAGGAGUGGAAUAGAGGUGGUCGAGGCCAUAGACAUAUAUACGUCUAUGGUCGAGGCAGAGAGAUGAUAUUUUCCUUCGUGGGUUCUCAUCAGACAGAAACUUCAGCCGUACAAAGUGUUCCCUACUGCCAGAGGUCUGCGUGCAUGUGUGCAUGCAUGCGUGUGAUUGCAUGGUCAUGUGCCUGCGCUUGCAUGUGUGCGUGCACAGCACCCACAUGUGGGAUGCCUUUUUUUUUUCUUUUUUUGAAGCAGCAGUGGAAAUAUUGACAGCUGAUAGAAAUUAAAGUGGUUUAUUUAUAGCUGCUUCUGUGGCCACGCACCAGCGGAAUUAAAUCGGCUCCACCUAAAUCCAGCAAGAUCCCCUCCGACUGGAAAAUAUCAUCACCACACAUUCGUCCGCCCAAGGCUAAUUUGUGACAGCUCUGGAGAAACAGCUGUGGAGUUUCAAGGCGAAUUGGUUGGACUUCAGGCAGAGCUCGCUGGGCUGCUGGGAUUCUCCCCUGGGCGUUUCAGCGUGGUGCUUCACCUGAAGUGCUCCUGUGGAAAAUCUGCCCCCUGUACCCCCAUCCCCAAACCCCCCCCGAAGCCUCACGUGCCGGUUAUCUCAACAUCAGUACAUCGCAGGGACCGGAGAGCUGAGCCCUGACCGUGGAAGCAGAGGAUGCUGGGAAACCUGACAUGGGCAGCGGCAUUUUCCAGUUCUGGUUGGCUCCUGAGGUGGAUGGUCUACCACCUGGUCUACCACCUGGUCUCCUGAAAACUUAUUAGAAACAGCUUCUACGAUGAUGCACGGCAGAAUAGUGUAGAAGAUAUUAAAAAUGAUUUUUUUAAAUCCCCACAGAGGAAAAUUGUUUUCCACUUGGUGGUAAAUAUGCAAAAGCAUGUGUGCACUUCAUCACAGCCACAUUAAACACAACAACAUGGCCACAUAACAAAUGUAUAAAUUCAGAUUCUUCAGUCUCAAAAUAGACCGUGAAUGAAUCUGCAAAAAAAAGUGUUUUAUAGUUUGUCAGGGAUUUUCAUUUCACCUCUUGCUGAUGCAAAUACCCACAGAGGCCUGCAAUUUGUCAUGUUAUGGAGGGAAAUGUCAAACACCUCAUUUGUUCUGUUAAGUUUCCUUACAAUGAAUAAAAACAUAAUGAUGAACUCAAAACGAAUCACUUUUUUGAU